GGCUACUGCCAUACACCCUGAAUGUGCCUCAUCUUAUCUGAUCUUGGAAGCCAGGCAGGGUCAGUCUUGAUUAAUACUUUGAUAGGAGAGUGUACCUAGCAUGGAUUCU
RNAcentral lists this ribosomal RNA (109 nucleotides) under Microtus ochrogaster (prairie vole). Lineage: Eukaryota; Metazoa; Chordata; Mammalia; Rodentia; Cricetidae. The record is from RNAcentral.